AGGUGCUGCACGGCUGUCGUCAGCUCGUGUCGUGAGAUGUUGGGUUAAGUCCCGCAACGAGCGCAACCCUCGUGUUUAGUUACUAGCAGUUCGGCUGAGGACUCUAAACAGACUGCCUGGGUAACCAGGAGGAAGGUGAGGACGACGUCAAGUCAUCAUGGCCCUUACGGCCAGGGCUACACACGUGCUACAAUGGGGUAUACAAAGAGCCGCAAUACCGUGAGGUGGAGCAAAUCUCAUAAAAUAUCUCCCAGUUCGGAUUGAAGUCUGCAACUCGACUUCAUGAAGUUGGAAUCGCUAGUAAUCGUAGAUCAGCAAUGCUACGGUGAAUACGUUCCCGGGUCUUGUACUCACCGCCCGUCACACCAUGGGAAUUGAAUUCAUUCGAAGCGGGGAUGCUAAAAUAGCUACCUUCCACAGUGGAUUUAGUAACUAGGGUGAAGUCGUAACAACAUA
Molecule: ribosomal RNA, 456 nt
Filed under: uncultured bacterium
Lineage: Bacteria
Description: bacterial SSU rRNA
Rfam family: Bacterial small subunit ribosomal RNA
Source: RNAcentral